CACGGGGGGAACGCGAAGAACCUUACCUACUCUUGACAUCCACGGAACUUUUCAGAGAUGAAUUGGUGCCUUCGGGAACCGUGAGACAGGUGGUGCAUGGCUGUUGUCAGCUUGUGUUGUGAAAUGUUGGGUUAAGUCCCGCAACGAGCGCAACCCUUAUCCUUUGUUGCCAGCGGUUAGGCCGGGAACUCAAAGGAGACUGCCAGUGAUAAACUGGAGGAAGGUGGGGAUGACGUCAAGUCAUCAUGCCCCUUACGAGUAGGGCUACACACGUGCUACAAUGGCAUAUACAAAGAGAAGCGACCUCGCGAGAUCAAGCG
Molecule: ribosomal RNA, 320 nt
Filed under: uncultured bacterium
Lineage: Bacteria
Description: bacterial SSU rRNA
Rfam family: Bacterial small subunit ribosomal RNA
Source: RNAcentral